This 717-nucleotide ribosomal RNA is filed under the name Klebsiella pneumoniae. RNAcentral describes it as "bacterial SSU rRNA". It matches the Rfam family "Bacterial small subunit ribosomal RNA", at positions 22 to 730 of the family's 1533-position model. Lineage: Bacteria; Pseudomonadati; Pseudomonadota; Gammaproteobacteria; Enterobacterales; Enterobacteriaceae. The record is from RNAcentral.
GCUCAGAUUGAACGCUGGCGGCAGGCCUAACACAUGCAAGUCGAGCGGUAGCACAGAGAGCUUGCUCUCGGGUGACGAGCGGCGGACGGGUGAGUAAUGUCUGGGAAACUGCCUGAUGGAGGGGGAUAACUACUGGAAACGGUAGCUAAUACCGCAUAACGUCGCAAGACCAAAGUGGGGGACCUUCGGGCCUCAUGCCAUCAGAUGUGCCCAGAUGGGAUUAGCUAGUAGGUGGGGUAACGGCUCACCUAGGCGACGAUCCCUAGCUGGUCUGAGAGGAUGACCAGCCACACUGGAACUGAGACACGGUCCAGACUCCUACGGGAGGCAGCAGUGGGGAAUAUUGCACAAUGGGCGCAAGCCUGAUGCAGCCAUGCCGCGUGUGUGAAGAAGGCCUUCGGGUGGUAAAGCACUUUCAGCGGGGAGGAAGGCGAUGAGGUUAAUAACCUCAUCGAUUGACGUUACCCGCAGAAGAAGCACCGGCUAACUCCGUGCCAGCAGCCGCGGUAAUACGGAGGGUGCAAGCGUUAAUCGGAAUUACUGGGCGUAAAGCGCACGCAGGCGGUCUGUCAAGUCGGAUGUGAAAUCCCCGGGCUCAACCUGGGAACUGCAUUCGAAACUGGCAGGCUAGAGUCUUGUAGAGGGGGGUAGAAUUCCAGGUGUAGCGGUGAAAUGCGUAGAGAUCUGGAGGAAUACCGGUGGCGAAGGCGGCCCCCU